This is a small nucleolar RNA of Chanos chanos (milkfish), 143 nucleotides long. The record is from RefSeq and is a predicted model, not a curated record. Lineage: Eukaryota; Metazoa; Chordata; Actinopteri; Gonorynchiformes; Chanidae.
GACCAAAGUGUUGAGUUCAGUUCUGGGCUUCUCUCCCCAGUCCUGGUAAUUAAUCUUUGGUACACGAGCUGGCUGGGAAUGGGUUCAUCAGCAGGAGCUGGUUUUUAUGUCACCGCUCUGCAAAACCACUCUGGCCAACACAU